Molecule: ribosomal RNA, 901 nt
Filed under: uncultured archaeon
Lineage: Archaea
Description: bacterial SSU rRNA
Rfam family: Archaeal small subunit ribosomal RNA
Source: RNAcentral
CGGUUGAUCCUGCCGGACCCUACUGCUAUCGGGGUGGGACUAAGACAUGCGAGUUGAGCGUCUCUAAGCCAUUUAUAGAGACGCAGCGUACGGCUCAGUAACACGUGGCUAACCUACCCUUAGGACGGGGACAACCCCGGGAAACUGGGGCUAAUACCCGAUAGGCGAGGAGGCCUGGAAUGGUUCCUCGUCAAAAAGGCGUUGAAACCAUGCUUUUCGACGUCGCCUAAGGAUGGGGCCGCGCCCGAUCAGGUUGUUGGUGGGGUAACGGCUCACCAAGCCUAUAACCGGUACGGGCCGUGAGAGCGGGAGCCCGGAGAUGGGCACUGAGACAAGGGCCCAGGCCCUACGGGGCGCAGCAGUCGCGAAAACUCCGCAAUGCGCGAAAGCGUGACGGGGCUACCCCGAGUGCCGUCCGCUGAGGAUGGCUUUUCCCCGGUGUAAUGAGCCGGGGGAAUAAGGAGAGGGCAAGUCUGGUGUCAGCCGCCGCGGUAAUACCAGCUCUCCGAGUGGUAGGGAUGAUUAUUGGGCUUAAAGCGUCCGUAGCCGGCUUAGCAAGUCUCCUGUUAAAUUCAGCGACCUAAUCGUUGAGCCGCGGGAGAUACUACUAGGCUAGGAGGCGGGAGAGGCCGACGGUAUUCUCGGGGUAGGGGUGAAAUCCUAUAAUCCCGGGAGGACCACCAGUGGCGAAAGCUGUCGGCUAGAACGCGCUCGACGGUGAGGGACGAAAGCUGGGGGAGCGAACCGGAUUAAAUACCCGGGUAGUCCCAGCUGUAAACGAUGCGGGCUAGGUGUUGGGGUGGCUACGAGCCACUUCAGUGCCGCAGGGAAGCCAUUAAGCCCGCCGCCCGGGGGAGUACGGCCGCAAGGCUGAAACUUAAAGGAAUUGGCGGGGGAGCAC